UCGAGAAUCUUCGGCAAUGGGCGCAAGCCUGACCGAGCGACGCCGCGUGCGGGAUGAAGGCCUUCGGGUUGUAAACCGCUGUCGAGGGGAAUGAAGUGUAGGUAAGUCAUCUUAUCUAUUUGACAGAUCCCUGGAGGAAGCAUGGGCUAAGUUCGUGCCAGCAGCCGCGGUAAGACGAACCAUGCAAACGUUAUUCGGAUUCACUGGGCUUAAAGCGUGCGUAGGCGGUCUUGUUAGUCAGGUGUGAAAGCCCUCAGCCUAACUGAGGAAUUGCGCUUGAUACUGCAUGACUAGAGAAUGAUAGAGGUGGGUGGAACUGAUGGUGGAGCGGUGAAAUGCGUUGAUAUCAUCAGGAACACCAGUGGCGAAGGCGACCCACUGGGUCAUUUCUGACGCUGAGGUACGAAAGCUAGGGUAGCGAACGG
RNAcentral lists this ribosomal RNA (425 nucleotides) under uncultured bacterium. Its description in RNAcentral is "bacterial SSU rRNA". It matches the Rfam family "Bacterial small subunit ribosomal RNA", at positions 355 to 775 of the family's 1533-position model. The record is from RNAcentral.